GCAGUCGUGGCCGAGUGGUUAAAGCGAUGGACUAGAAAUCCAUUGGGGUCUCCCCACACAGGUUCGAAUCCUGUCGACUGCG
RNAcentral lists this transfer RNA (82 nucleotides) under Ixodes scapularis (black-legged tick). It matches the Rfam family "tRNA". From Rfam's summary of the family: Transfer RNA (tRNA) molecules are approximately 80 nucleotides in length. Lineage: Eukaryota; Metazoa; Arthropoda; Arachnida; Ixodida; Ixodidae. The record is from Rfam by way of RNAcentral.